This 7747-nucleotide unclassified non-coding RNA is filed under the name Pomacea canaliculata. RNAcentral describes it as "rasGAP-activating-like protein 1, transcript variant X2". The record is from RNAcentral. Lineage: Eukaryota; Metazoa; Mollusca; Gastropoda; Architaenioglossa; Ampullariidae.
UAUGGCGGUAUGUGGAAGUGAAAAUCAGUACCGCUAUCAGUGUCAACAUUUUCGUCACGACAGCUAACUGGAUAUAUAACAUGAUAUCGAGACAGACUACGUUAUACCUCAGAGUAUCUGAGGCCAAAAAUCUUUUGGCGAAAGAUUUCAAUGGCAAGAGCGACCCAUAUUGUGUCAUCAAAGUAGACAAUGUUGUAAUUGCAAGGACAGCUACAGUAUACAAGACUUUGAACCCAUUGUGGGGUGAAGAGUUUGUGCUACAUAUGCCCAGUGGUUUUCAGAAUCUUAGUCUGUAUGUUUAUGAUGCUGACAAAGUCAGCAGUGGCGAUGACAUCAUUGGAACAGUCUCAAUUACCAAAGAAAUGUUAAAUAAUCAACGAAACUUAAAAGGACUAGAGAGCUGGUUUCCACUUCAGAAGGCAAACAAGGAUCUUGAAAUACAGGGGGAGAUUCUCCUAGAGUACGGGAUUCGCACGUCUGAAGCCACUGGACAGUCUCAUUUUUUUGUGACUGUAUUAGAAGGAAGGGACUUGGCACCCAAAGACAAGACAGGCUAUUCAGACCCAUAUGUUAGUGUGACUUGCUUUGAUGAAACAAAAGUGACUUCGAAUCAAAAGAAGACGCGAUUUCCAGAGUGGAAUGAGACACUGGAAUUCUUACUGCCAUCAGAUACAACGUACACCAAUAUGUCGAUCAUUGUGACAGUGUGGGACAAGGAUAAACUGAGUAGUGAUGACUUCAUGGGCCAGAUCCACCUCACAGUUGAAGAUGUCACACAUGGAACUGUUAAAAAGUGGCAUGCAGUAGCUCGCCGUCCACACGUAGAUGCACUGACAGUGCGCAGGGGAAGCCGAAUAGAACGGGGCAAAAUUCGACUCAAAUUACAACUUUUAGAAGAAACUGUUCUCCCUUCAUCCUGUUAUGAGCCUGUGGAGACACUGUUUCUGGAAGCAAUUGAUGAACACAAGGCACCAGGUCUGGGAAUGAUGUUGUGGGAGUUGCUGGAGCAGGAAAGAACAAUUGAACUGAGUCAUAUGGCUGGUGCUCUAGUUAGGUUUUACCUGGCGAAGGAGACUGUGAUAGAGUACCUGGACAAACUUAUGCAGCGUGAUGUAGACAACACAGAAGACCCCAAUACCCUGUUCAGAGGAAAUACUUUAGGGACCAAAUCAAUUGACCAGUUUAUGAAGAUCCUGGGUGUGCCUUAUCUUCAAGAAACCCUCCAGCCAGUCAUUGAGCGCAUCUUCAAUGAGAAAAAGACAAUAGAGCUUGAUCCCAGCAGGGUCAACAGUGUGCGCAGGAGACACAGUCUCCAUCGUGAGUCAGAGGAAAGCUUCAUUCAUUCGAGUCAAGAUGUAGUUGAGUCAUACAUGAGUGAAGUCAUUGACUGCAUCACACGUUCUGUGUCUGCUUGCCCGCUGGCACUGCGCAUUGUUCUUAGGAACACCUAUCUUCGGGUUCGCUUCAAGUGGUCUCACGAGACUUAUGAGGACACACCAUAUCUUGCAGUCAGUGGUUUCAUCUUUCUUCGGUUCUUCGCACCAGCGAUUCUAUCACCUAAGCUCUUUGCUCUGUAUGAUGUUCAUCCCAACCGCAAAAUUCAUCGAACUCUUACAAUUAUGGCUAAGAUGACACAGACACUUGGUAACCUUGUCACACCACAGGGAUGCAAGGAACCAUGGAUGGAACCUGUUGUUCCUUUCAUGCAAAGCAAGAUGUCUGCCAUACGUAACUUCCUUGAGGAACUGGUUACUAUUAAUGUGGAGGAUGUGUCUCCAAAAUCACUCGUACGUCAACAAAGCAAUGAUACAGUUCUUCAACAAGGCUAUCUGUACCUAUGCCACUACCACUGCCAUCGCCUCUUCCGACCUAUUGUUCUGAGGAAAUGCUAUUUUUGUCUAACCCGUGCCAUGCUGAGCUAUAGCAAGACACCUGAUGAGUCUAGUGAGCAAACAAUGGUGAUGGUAGAAAACAUCUGUGCUGUUGAGAUGUUAGAUUACGGUGCGCUGGGCAAGUCAAACAUGGGCCAGAUCAUCCAUAAAACUCCAGACAAUGGAACUGGCAUCAUAUACUUUCAGGCAAAGGAUGUGAAUGAACUGACAGGAUGGAUUUCUGCUAUUCGUAAAACCUGCAAGUACAACAGCUGCCGAAUAGACACCUUUCACCCAGGUGUCUUUAAGGGAGACAAGUGGAACUGUUGCCAUCGAGAGCAGGAUGUGGCACCUGGGUGCAGCCAGACAUACAAUGGUGUAGUGCUGGGAGACUGGCAAGAUCCCCUUGACGUGACAUUGGAUGCACAGAUUAUCUACUCACAACUUUUGCAUGGCCGAGACUUACUCAGGAAACAGCAACAAGACCUGAGGCUGCAACUAACACGGGAAAGCAGUCAUGCUGCAGAGGAAGGUGAUGAAAAAAGCAAAAAUCUGCUGACUCGGCUGAAGUUGUUGUCUCGCAUUUUAGAUGUAAUCGAACAAAUGUCCAUGCAGCAUGAAGCCUUCAAAGAUGGUUGAUCUCCUAACUCCAGCCAUCAAAUUUUGUGGGGAUGACCAUUCCUUGAACAAGUCGCUACCAUUGCCCUCCUUACUGUACACAUGUUUUCUGGUGUCCUGAGAAGCUGACAAUUUUUUUAGAGUAUGGAACAGAUUUUCUUUUCUUUUGGAUGGAGAGGAACAGGGAAUUUUGCUGUGUUUGUUAUUUCAAUUCUCAAGUCUAAAAGAGGUAAAUUUUUGCCUGAUUUAAUGCUUGUAAAAGUCUGCAUUUGUUAAGCAAAGUUUUGCUAUUAGCCAUAAUUAAGACUCAGAAUAAUAAACUGGCCUGUUUGCUGUUUACUUUCUUUUGGGUCUGAACGGUCUUGAUGCUUAAUAUAUUUGUAGACUUGAUUCCAAGUUCAAACAUGAAAUGCAAUAUUCUUUGUUUUUGCUUUUCACACUGCCUUUUUCACUCUAUUUCCAGUAACAUUCCCACAGUGUUUUGGUCGUUGUUACUAUUUGUUAAUUUGUUUGUUGUCAUGUUUUCUAUAAAUAUUAUUUUUCAAAAAGUAUAAACACUGUGCUUAUGAAGUGAGAAAUUUGUUGUGAUCAGGUCUGCUUAGGAUCUGUGAUUUCAUUUACAAAAUCAUCAUCACCUCAGUUGUUGUUUUUUUAAAUUUUAAUUUGUAUAAUUUGUGUAUAAUAUAUAUCGAUGUGCUCUGUAACAAUUUGAAGACAUUUCUAGAAAUUGCAUUUAAAAAUGAAUCACCUGCCUGUCUAUUUUCAGAGUCAAAACUUUCUCUUGACCAUACAUCUUAUAUUUUAUUCUUCAUUUUUACAUUUUUCAUCUUCGCACAUUUUUUGAAAUUUAGACAUAAAAUCUGUAGGCAUAAAAUUAUAAUCACAUGUUAACUCGGUUUUUGAUGUUCCUUGUGAUUUUUUUUUUUUUAAAGCGUUUAAUUCUGACCAUCAUUUUAAGACAACUAGAAAUGCAAAACUGGUUGAAGUCAUAAGAAUUUGAUAUGGUGUUACACAUUUAAGAGCUCAAAUGAUUAUUUCCUUGUAAUGUGUAUGUGCAUGUAUGAGAGCAUGUGGUUGUUAAAGAAAAGACCCUAGCAAGCCUUCCUGGGGCUAGCAUACCACAAUAUUGAUAAUAUUCCUUUUGUUUCUAAUAUUAUUUUCUUUUUCUUUUUACCCCGGUGAAUUGAGAUUGCAGUUAAAAGAUGAAAGUUAAAUUUUUUCAUUAGUUUUAGGGGUUUUUUUUCCCACACUCUCUCACUUACAAUAUUAAUUUAACCCAACCUCACCUACAGAAAUCUUUAUCAAUAUAUAUAUAUCCCUGUAUUUCUUCUUAUCUAAUGAUUAUUUUAUCAUAGUUUUAUUUUCAUGGCAUUCCUGUCUCAUAUUUGAUUGGCAUGGGUAAUUAAUGGUUUGGUAUGUUAUGUAUGUGGUGGAUAUACGACUCCCUCUGAAGAAAAAAAAUCCUUACAUCACCAACUCUGCUUCAAUUCCUGCAGUACCUUUUGAUGUCUAACUGUACUUUUAAUUUUAUCUUGACUAUACAGUAAUACUAGAUAUAAAAUAAAUCUGAAGAAAGUUUUCUUUAGAGAACAAAAGGAAAUCAGUCAAGAAAUCAUGACUGGGAAGAUUGGGUGGUGUCAAAUUAUAUUUCUUGUGAAACAUCAUAUAGAAUCAUGUUUCUGCAAAAUUGUGAGAUCUGUUAUCAUUUUAUUGUUGUAUCUGUGUUCUUGACAUUCUCUUGAAACUGGUACUUGUAAACAUAAUCCUGUUUUUAAUUUAUAUUUCAACUGAGCACAUUGAUACAUGCAUGCUUGAUAAUUCAGCAUGCUUUUGAUUUGAAAGCCACGUAAAUGUUGUGAGAGGAGAAGUGUUUGUUGUGGCACAAAUUCAUCAGAAGUUAAGACUUUCUAGAAUAAUAAAUCCAGUGCCAUUAUCAAAAAAGAUUAUAUUUUUAUCAUUGUUUUUACAACUUGUACCAUUCUGUUUCUGUGACAGAUACAUUUACCUUAUUACGAUGUCCACCUCUAUUUGUCUCAAUCUAUGGUCAUAAUCAAGUUGAUUUGUAUCAAGCUACUGGUAGAACGCACUUGAUUUCCCCAACAUUGGUGUAUUGCUUAUACACUUUGCUUACGUGCAAUACUUUUCCUAACAAAAUCGAAACACUUGCCAUACAGUACACAUGGUGCAGAGAAUACUAAAAUACCUACAUUAUUGACAUCACCUGCAGCAAACAUUUAAAGCACCAAAACUGAAGCAAUGCAUGUAGUUGAUUUAAUUUGGAGUGCUAAAUAUUUGGAACACCGGUUAUUGCAACACCUCAGUCAUGGUUCACAUCUAGUGAGAUAUCAAUAGAUAUGAGACUUCAUUGAUAUGUGAUUAGUGGGCUCCACUCCAGAACAGGUUUCAGAGUCUAGGCUUGCCCAAGCUAAUGACUGGUCCCUGUGUCCAUUCAGCAGUGUCUGGGUACCGGAUCAGAGAGCAUCCAGCAAAAGGAGAGGCUAGAACUCUACCUUCCAUGUGUUGUUCUCUAAAAACCGUAAACCACUUACAGUUCACGGCAGCUAGAUUAACAGACCUUUACCUUUUUCGGUUUUAUAAACUGUUUAUCAAUAAAACAUAUUUGCUUUAUGUCAGUGUUUUUCAGGACAAAACACUGUUUAUGCCAUAGCUUGCACAUUUCAUGUCAUUUCUUGCUUGAUAACAUGCCCUUCCCCUCCUUCAUACUAUGAGCUAAUGCUGUGUUCUGAUUCAGACUAAAAAUAAGUAGAUAUUACUCUCACAGAGCACAUGCACACAAAGAGUUGGGUAUUUUAUGCAUAAUAUGUAAUUAUAUCAGCCUUUUUAGCAUAUAAAGUAUAUAUUUGCAACAUUAUUUUCAAAUUAAAGUAUUACUUUCAUGAAAAGGUAUUCCUAGAGCCUGAGUUCUUCGUUCUGUUUGCAAGAUACUAGAAUUUAUAUUCAGUUGAGCAGAUAAAAGAAAUAUGCAGGUCUGUCUCUGCCCACCAUUCCUACUCAUCAGGAUGACUAAAUGGCAGUUAAAAAUGGGUUCAAAAUUCUUUGCUACUUUGUUCACUAUCAGGAGCUUCACAGCUGGACUGCCCUAUGAUAGGUGUAUAGGGACUAGGAGCUGGUCGGCAGCUGUGAGAGACAUUCCUUAGCUUCCAAAUGUUCUAAUGUCUGAUCUUAUGUGCAUAGUGCCUUGGCAAUGUGUAUUGUAGUUUUUCUCCCAGGCUAAAUUCAUGAAUUAUGAUGACAAGAUUUAUGGCAAAAUAUGGCAUUUUUGCAGAUUAUUAUAGAUUGACCUCUACAUCAUAUUACAAAUAUUUAAAAAAGGAAUGCCUGCAUUAAAACAAAACUGUCAGGAAAUUAUCAUGGGACUUCUGUAGUAAAUUGCUUUAAAGAUUGAAACUGACAUGAAAAUAAAGUUUGUAAAUAUCUCUUUUGUAAGCUAUAGCCAGAACUUUGGUCAGUUGCUGUAACAGAUUAGGAAGCUUUCCUCCUUGACAGUAUUCUGUGGUUACCUGUGCCAUUAAAACACAUUUUUUUGUUCUUCACAGGAUGUUUGACAGCUAUUUGAAUUCCCAACAAUGAAAAGCUACAGCCGAACAAAAAUUGUUUUAAUAUCUCCACAGAGAGCAUGCUAAUUUCAUUUAUGUUGCUGCUAAUUGUUUUUGGUUUUGUUUUGUUUUUCAGCUCUGAACUUUACUGUUUAAAGCCUUGCUCUUAUACCCUUCAGAAUAUAUGACAUUACUGCCAUUAAAGUGUGAUUAAUAUAUAUCUUAAUCCCUCUGAAUGUUGUACAGAAGAUGUGCACUUUUACCUGCUUAUUGUUCCAUUCCAUGCACUCGUGCAUGCACACAAAUACACUCUCAAACAUUUUAGACAUUUUGGUAUUUGGGGCCAUGUUGAAAAAUCUUUAUUUUCCUAGUGCAAAAGGAUAACACAAUCUUAGUUUCAUUAUAUAAAUAGCACAUAAAUGCAUGCCUUUUAACAAGCUUAUUAUUUGUGAGACCCUGGCAAACAACGAAUCUCCAUUUUGCUUGUCAUGUGCAAACCUGUAGUGCCUAACAACAAAUAACCUUUAUCUUCACCUUGCCACUUCCUGCCUUUUAUUGAACUAGAUCACAUUGUCAUUUUUAUCACAUUUUAAAUAGAGUGAUUACAUUUUUUUUCUAUAGGUCUUUCUCGCAUUAGUAGUUGCAGUUACAGAUGUAAAUAUCUACUUGACCCAUAAGAGCAGUCAACUUUCAGUUUAAUUAGUUUGAAAUAUGCUUCAGCUGGGAAGAAAAUGUGGACAAGAGACAUACAAGUAGUUAUACUUGUUCCUAUUCACCAUCACACAUUCAGCCCCCCAGGUACACACAAGUAGAUACAGAUGUGCAGACAUUUACAGUUGGUCAAUCUUCAUAACCAUGCUCAGUAUUUGACAUUUAAGAUUUUUCUUGGUUUUCUUUUGUCAUUUUUGUAACAUCCAUCAUUUAAAAAUUAAGUUGAACUUUAAGAUACAAAACUCAAAGUAUUCUUUAAUCCCACCCACAUUUAUUCACUGCAGUCUCAAGAACAUUAAAAUCUUGUAUUCAGCAAUAGACAAAAGUGGGAAAAAAAUUAUCUAAUAUUUUUGUAUUUGGAUUUCUUGUUUGCACUGCAUUCAUGAUAGUCUGCUACAUUUGUGAAAAGCAUAUUUUUAACUGAACAGUUUUGUAUUCUGCACAUUUUUUGCAGAGGGUGUCUGUCUAGUCAACAUUAUUGUUACAGCUUAAAACAGUUGAAGUCUGUUCCUGCAGAACUUUAUUUAUUUAGUGACAGCAUGUGCAGCUGUUGAUAAAAUUUUCAUGAUUGUGUUUAAAUAAUACCCUUGUAUCAAACUAUCUCAUGAAAGGUUGUUAUAAGAAGUCAGACAUGUCACUUAUUUUUGUUAUGUUAUAAAUUUUGUUGAACAAAUGUCCUUUAAUUUGCAUUUCCAAACAAAGCAUUUACAUAAAUUUAUUUAUUUACAAAGUUUAUUUACUUUCAGACAAAUUUUAAUAGUUUACGUUCAUGUAUUUCUUAUAGAAGGUAAUAGCAGUGUAACUAUAUUAACCUUGUUCAGAGUUUAAUAGAUCAGCUUUUUGGUCUCAUUUUUCACCUUAGAUAUUUCAAAUGUAUUCUUUCAUACAAAGUGUUUGUGUAUUCUUUCGCCACUUUCCACCUUUUAUUUGUGGAGUUCAUAAAAUUUGUUGUCAGCACCCAAGAAAUAAAUAUAUGCCUGACCUUGUAAA